CUACGCUGCGAUAAGCCGUGGGGAGCUGCGAAGAAGCUUUGAUCCACGGAUUUCCGAAUGGGGAAACCCACCUUCGAUAGCCGGAACUCCAAGAUCUUGAGGUUUAGACACCUUGUGUUUUGGGGUUCGACCAGAAAUGCGAGAAAUCAAACCGCGAGGUUUUGGAUUUCCGGUUAUCAAGAGAAGGUAUGAGACUUCUGAAUAAAAUAGGAGGUUUCAAGCGAACCCAGGGAACUGAAACAUCUAAGUACCUGGAGGAAAGGACAUCAAUCGAGACUCCGUUAGUAGUGGCGAGCGAACGCGGACCAGGCCAGUGAUACAUCAAAGACAACCGGAACCUGUCAGGAAAGCAGGGCCUCAGAGGGUGAUAGCCCCGUACGGGUAAUGCGAUGAUGUAUCCUUGAGUAAGGCGGGACACGUGUAAUCCUGUCUGAACAUGGGGGGACCACCCUCCAAGCCUAAGUACUCCUCAGCGACCGAUAGU
This 484-nucleotide ribosomal RNA is filed under the name Bradyrhizobium sp. ai2.1. RNAcentral describes it as "bacterial LSU rRNA". It matches the Rfam family "Bacterial large subunit ribosomal RNA", at positions 61 to 491 of the family's 2925-position model. The record is from RNAcentral. Lineage: Bacteria; Pseudomonadati; Pseudomonadota; Alphaproteobacteria; Hyphomicrobiales; Nitrobacteraceae.